Molecule: non-coding RNA, 558 nt
Organism: Cajanus cajan (pigeon pea)
Lineage: Eukaryota; Viridiplantae; Streptophyta; Magnoliopsida; Fabales; Fabaceae
Source: RefSeq, a predicted model, not a curated record
AACAAAGUAGCCAGCGUUCACCAGUUCUUGGUGUAAGAUCAAUCUCUGUUUCUGCACGUGGGAUUGAAACGUCGAAGAUGUUCGGAUGGGGUAUAAUGACUCUUUACGAAGGAAGGCCGGAUUGAUCAAUGAUGCGCGCAGUCCAUCAUACUUUUAAGGUGAGUUUUUAAACAGAUGAAAUUGUCUGUUAAGCUAGAGGAGUACCUGACAAAGAAUGUUCCUCACAGAUUCUUUUGUGGCUACAGCUUUAUAGAAGAAUUUGCCUACAGCAGUAUCCCUACAGCAUAAAGCAUGAUAAUGGACCAUAUCUAGAGCUCCCAACGUUGGAUUUGGACAUUUUUGGCGUCUCUAGAAAGAUAAGAGAGAGCUCUACAACUUUUCUAUUGGGAGCAAAGACCAGUUCAGACAUUAAGUGACCAAAAAAUGCAUUGCAAAGUUGCGACCCUACACAAUAUUUUCUUUUUAUUUUUUGAUUGUAAUGUUAGGAUUUGUUUAGUGAUGUAAUUAAUUGAUUUAAUGGUUGGGCCUUUAAUUACUCAUAUUAGGCCCAUUAGUGUA